Non-coding RNA from Salmo salar (Atlantic salmon), 275 nucleotides. The record is from RefSeq and is a predicted model, not a curated record. NCBI's taxonomy places the organism in Eukaryota, Metazoa, Chordata, Actinopteri, Salmoniformes, Salmonidae.
GACUGUUCCUGCCGCCUGCAUCAGGAGGGUUUCUGCACUGCCUCAGCACCAAGAACCUCAGCUGUGACACGUAUCAACAGAUACUGAGGGAGUUCAGCAAUCAAUUUGACCAAAUGGACCAGAAGAGACAAGAGCUGGUGGUCAAAUACUUCAUCCAGCCCUUCCUGACCAAAAACUCCUCAGACUCUGGCUGUGUGUCCAACUCUAACAGCAGUGUGGACUGGCUGCAGAAGAACUUGGGGCGGUUUUCAGUCCUGCUGUCCCUUAGCGACCUG